This 303-nucleotide ribosomal RNA is filed under the name uncultured bacterium. RNAcentral describes it as "partial 16S ribosomal RNA". It matches the Rfam family "Bacterial small subunit ribosomal RNA", at positions 507 to 807 of the family's 1533-position model. The record is from RNAcentral.
AGCAGUAGCCACGGUAAUACGAAGGGUGCAAGCGUUAAUCGGAAUUACUGGGCGUAAAGCGUGCGUAGGCGGUGAGUUAAGUCUGCUGUGAAAUCCCCGGGCUCAACCUGGAAAUGGCAGUGGAUACUGGCUCGCUAAAGUGUGUCAGAGGAUGGUGGAAUUCCCGGUGUAGCGGUGAAAUGCGUAGAGAUCGGGAGGAACAUCAGUGGCGAAGGCGGCCAUCUGGGGCAACACUGACGUUGAGGCACGAAAGCGUGGGGAGCAAACAGGAUUAGAUACCCGAGUAGUCCCUGUCUCUUAUAC